This 77-nucleotide transfer RNA is filed under the name Chloroflexota bacterium. Its description in RNAcentral is "tRNA-Val". It matches the Rfam family "tRNA". Rfam says of the family: Transfer RNA (tRNA) molecules are approximately 80 nucleotides in length. Their secondary structure includes four short double-helical elements and three loops (D, anti-codon, and T loops). Further hydrogen bonds mediate the characteristic L-shaped molecular structure. tRNAs have two regions of fundamental functional importance: the anti-codon, which is responsible for specific mRNA codon recognition, and the 3' end, to which the tRNAs corresponding amino acid is attached (by aminoacyl-tRNA synthetases). tRNAs cope with the degeneracy of the genetic code in two manners: having more than one tRNA (with a specific anti-codon) for a particular amino acid; and 'wobble' base-pairing, i.e. permitting non-standard base-pairing at the 3rd anti-codon position. The record is from RNAcentral. Lineage: Bacteria; Bacillati; Chloroflexota.
GGGCGAUUAGCUCAGUGGGUUAGAGCGUACGGUUCACAUCCGUAAGGUCACUGGUUCGAGCCCAGUAUCGCCCACCA